Molecule: small nuclear RNA, 108 nt
Filed under: Zea mays
Lineage: Eukaryota; Viridiplantae; Streptophyta; Magnoliopsida; Poales; Poaceae
Description: U2 spliceosomal RNA
Rfam family: U2 spliceosomal RNA
About the family: U2 is a small nuclear RNA (snRNA) component of the spliceosome (involved in pre-mRNA splicing). Complementary binding between U2 snRNA (in an area lying towards the 5' end but 3' to hairpin I) and the branchpoint sequence (BPS) of the intron results the bulging out of an unpaired adenosine, on the BPS, which initiates a nucleophilic attack at the intronic 5' splice site, thus starting the first of two transesterification reactions that mediate splicing.
Source: Rfam by way of RNAcentral
AUACCUUUCUCGGCCUUUUGGCUGAAAUAAAAUAUACUAUUUGCUAUUAUCAUUUUAAUAUAUGAUAUAUGGACCAUAUGUUCAAAUAUUUUUUUAUAGGUAUCGAAU